Molecule: long non-coding RNA, 1354 nt
Organism: Sapajus apella (tufted capuchin)
Lineage: Eukaryota; Metazoa; Chordata; Mammalia; Primates; Cebidae
Exons: 2
Source: RefSeq, a predicted model, not a curated record
UGACCUCAGGUGAUCUGCCUGCCUCAGUCUCCCAAAGUGCUUGGAUUAUGGGUGUGAGCCACUGCACCCGGCCAGUGUUCAGCUUUUCUUUAUUGUCCACUGAAAGCUCAUUAUUGUGAUAUAAUCAAUUAUGUUCAAAGUGAUUUCAGCAAAUCAGAGGUGAGGUGACGAUCCUGUGACCUAUUUUUAACCACAGUGCAUCCCUUCAUUCUGUUUUCUUUCCCCCUUUGGCACUAUUCAUCCAGCACUCCUGUAACUUCACUGGCAUAUUAUAUCCUGGGGACAACAUAUUCACUGUCUUCCCUUAGGUCAUUUCAGCUUUUCGUCCAAUGGUGCUUAGAGACUAAUCCUUUGAAUACUUGGUUCUAAUCCCAUCUGUCAAUUAGCUUUGUAGCAUCCAGCAGUUUGUAGCAUCUUUCUGGGCCUUAGCUUUUGCUUUAUUAAUUGAAAGGAUGAGGCUUCCAAUUUUACAUUUUACAAUUCUAGAAGAUGAGCAGAAAAAUAACUUCUGACCUGGUUUACAAAAGUUUGCCCAUGUACUAUGUUAGAUCUUGGAGAGUUUCUCCUGGGCUCCCUGUGAACUGCUCCACUGGUGCACAAGAAGCCAAAGGGGCAAAGCUCAGGACAGUGUCUCCCUGGCAAGGGCAAUUACAUUGGCAUGAUUGUCUAGCAUAACUUGUCAUGCAGACCCCUUUUCAAGAUAGCAGAUUCCUUCACUGGCAAUGUGGCAGUGUUUCCCUUCAUCAAUGGAAGACAUGGAAUGUGUUCUAGGGGAAUUUAUAGCACUCGACAUGCGUAUGAAGGAAAUGCAGCUAUCAAUUAAUAGCAGCAUUUCCUUCAUUGCAAUGCUGCUAACAAGAGGAAAAUAUGUGUCUGGUAGUUUCAGGGCAUAGGGCAGGGUAAAGGUUGAAGAGGAAGCUUGGAUAGCUUGACACAGGGCAGGCAGGAGAAGGCUCUGGCAGAGGCCUGGCCCCCUUGUAUAGAAGAAGCUGGAAUGAGUCCUUGCUUCUCAGCGGCUGGAACUGGACCAGACUUCAAGAGAAGUGCAGCUGCAGGACCCAGGGGAGGAACUGGGAUCUGCGGUGUCCCCUGCUGUCCUGGAAGAUCAGGGUGUCUGGGGUUUCUGUCUGUGGUGUUGAGGAGUGGCUGGUUGAGGGCCCUGGAAGGAACAGGACCCUGUCUCUAGCAAGGAGAUAGAAGGUGGACAGGAUUCUCGAAAAGCGAGAAAUGAAAAAGAGGAAAUUAACCCAGUAUCUGGUUAAUUUUUCUGAGUUUUUUGGUUUGUUUUCAUUUCUGUUACAGUGUUAGCUACACUGUAAGUCAGGUUUCCUGGGAAAUAGACUCCUAAGACAGA